RNAcentral lists this transfer RNA (70 nucleotides) under Dipodomys ordii (Ord's kangaroo rat). It matches the Rfam family "tRNA". From Rfam's summary of the family: Transfer RNA (tRNA) molecules are approximately 80 nucleotides in length. Their secondary structure includes four short double-helical elements and three loops (D, anti-codon, and T loops). Further hydrogen bonds mediate the characteristic L-shaped molecular structure. tRNAs have two regions of fundamental functional importance: the anti-codon, which is responsible for specific mRNA codon recognition, and the 3' end, to which the tRNAs corresponding amino acid is attached (by aminoacyl-tRNA synthetases). tRNAs cope with the degeneracy of the genetic code in two manners: having more than one tRNA (with a specific anti-codon) for a particular amino acid; and 'wobble' base-pairing, i.e. permitting non-standard base-pairing at the 3rd anti-codon position. The record is from Rfam by way of RNAcentral. Lineage: Eukaryota; Metazoa; Chordata; Mammalia; Rodentia; Heteromyidae.
UGGGAUGUAGCUCAGUGGCAAAGCGCUUGCCUAGCAAGCGCAACGUCCUGGGUUCGAUUCCCAGUACCAA